GAUGAACGCUGGCGGCGUGCCUAAUACAUGCAAGUCGAGCGAACAGACGAGGAGCUUGCUCCUCUGACGUUAGCGGCGGACGGGUGAGUAACACGUGGAUAACCUACCUAUAAGACUGGGAUAACUUCGGGAAACCGGAGCUAAUACCGGAUAAUAUAUUGAACCGCAUGGUUCAAUAGUGAAAGACGGUUUUGCUGUCACUUAUAGAUGAUUCCGCGCCGCAUUAGUUAGUUGGUAAGGUAACGGCUUACCAAGGCAACGAUGCGUAGCCGACCUGAGAGGGUGAUCGGCCACACUGGAACUGAGACACGGUCCAGACUCCUACGGGAGGCAGCAGUAGGGAAUCUUCCGCAAUGGGCGAAAGCCUGACGGAGCAACGCCGCGUGAGUGAUGAAGGUCUUCGGAUCGUAAAACUCUGUUAUUAGGGAAGAACAAAUGUGUAAGUAACUAUGCACGUCUUGACGGUACCUAAUCAGAAAGCCACGGCUAACUACGUG
Molecule: ribosomal RNA, 497 nt
Filed under: uncultured bacterium
Lineage: Bacteria
Description: partial 16S ribosomal RNA
Rfam family: Bacterial small subunit ribosomal RNA
Source: RNAcentral